AAUUUCCUGUCUAAUUCAGAAAUUACCUAUUUGCAACUUGGAAUUUAGAGAGAGAGAGAGAGUGGUAGAUGAAACUUGUGUUUGAAUAACUUGCUGCUUUCUUCAUGGGAACUCACCAGCAAAAAGCAGGAUUCUCUAUCAUAAAAAAUACAUUUGCCCCUAAGAUAGAACCAGAUUUCAUACUUGAGUUCAUGUUUUCUGUUUUUAUACAUUAUUAAGGCAAUGUUUUAAACAAUGGAUUGUUAUGGUAAUAAAAAUCUGCACAGUAAAACUUCCUCUUUUCAGAUCUGUAGAACUGCUGGUGAAGCUUCCUUUAAUUGCAACAGCUAAUGGAAACCAGCAAGAUAGCCCUUCUGUGUGUGAAAUACCAAAUUCUUUCAAGUGUACUGCUAUUCUGUCAAAGGAAAUGCAUGCAGAUCAAGCCAAGUGUGCAUUAUCAUUGCCUUCUGGUACAAAUAGUCAAAAGUCAAUGGAAAUAGACCCAAUGGAAACAACCGUUGAGAAAAAUAUAUUUUUAAAAGGAAGGUCUUUCCAAUGUGGAGCUCCCAGCUCUUGAUAACCACAAUGCUUCCAUGAACUUCUCUAUACUGAAAAACUCUGAAAUCUGUGGGGAAAAUGCUCAUAAUAAAGCACUGGAUACUGGAAAAGCAGAAGAAAAACCAGAUCAUACUUCUAAAGAGACUUACAAAAAGACUCUGACACCUUGCCAUGGGAGUAUGGCUUUGCAAGAUCUGACAAAUACUAGUAUACGAUCCCACACUUCCUUACCUAAAUCCUCCAAAACCUUAGAAGAAAACUCAGCAGCACCAUCUAGACGAGGAAGAACCACUAUUUGCUACAAAGAACCCAAUCUAAACAGCAAAUUAAGGCGUGGGGAUCAGUUUACAGAUACACAAUUUCUGGAUUCCCCAGUCUAUAAAGUAAAAAACAAAAGAAGUUUUAAAAGUAAAUCAAAAUUUAUUUGAAGAAGAGAACUGCCUUGAUGAACAAUACUUCUAAAAUGGGUACAAUUAAAAAAAAAAAAAAAAUGUUUAGCAGUACAGAGUGCUUAUUGUUCUUUGAUUAGUAAAGGUCUUCCAAAGUGGAAUUUCCUGGAAAGGAGCCCCUAUACAAAGGACACAGGAUACUUUACUGAGGACGGCAAAUACAGGUUAGGCUCCACUCUUGUGUUUUGCAUUUCUGGUCAGUAAUUUAUAAUCUGUUUAAAGGGUUUGCAGCACUUCUUAAUUUGUAAGAAAAGUGUACAUUUUAAUGAGAAUUAAAAAUAAAU
RNAcentral lists this long non-coding RNA (1270 nucleotides) under Aquila chrysaetos chrysaetos. RNAcentral's name for it is "lncRNA (ENSACCG00020002444.1)". Lineage: Eukaryota; Metazoa; Chordata; Aves; Accipitriformes; Accipitridae. The record is from RNAcentral.